CAUAUUAAAGUUUGAUUCUGGCUAAUGAGAAAAACGGGGGCGUGCUUAUUACAUGCAAGUCGAACGGGCCUGCCUUCACUUUUGGGGGUGGGUUGAGUGGCGAACGGGUGAGUAUCACGUGAGUAACCUGCCCUUCGGUCCUGGAUAACCGCUUCUCAGGGCGGCUAAUACGGGGUGGUCCGGUUGGUCCGCAUGGGCUGGUCGGGAUAGAUUCACUGUUUUUGGUGUUUCGGCGGGGGAUGGGCUCGCGGCCUAUCAGCUUGUUGGUGGGGUGAUGGCCUACCAAGGCGGUGACGGGUAGCCGGCCUGAGAGGGUGGGCGGCCACACUGGGACUGAGAUACGGCCCAGACUCCUGCGGGAGGCAGCAGUGGGGGGUAUUGCACAAUGGGCGGAAUCUUGAUGCAGCGACGUCGCGUGAGGGAUGGAGGCCUUCCCUUUGUGAACCUCUGUUUCCUUUGUUGAACGCCCUGCA
Molecule: ribosomal RNA, 473 nt
Filed under: uncultured bacterium
Lineage: Bacteria
Description: bacterial SSU rRNA
Rfam family: Bacterial small subunit ribosomal RNA
Source: RNAcentral